AUUGAACGCUGGCGGCAUGCCUUACACAUGCAAGUCGAACGGCAGCACGGGAGCUUGCUCCUGGUGGCGAGUGGCGAACGGGUGAGUAAUACAUCGGAACGUACCCUGAAGUGGGGGAUAACGUAGCGAAAGUUACGCUAAUACCGCAUAUUCUGUGAGCAGGAAAGAGGGGGAUCGCAAGACCUCUUGCUUUAGGAGCGGCCGAUGUCGGAUUAGCUAGUUGGUGAGGUAAAGGCUCACCAAGGCGACGAUCCGUAGCGGGUCUGAGAGGAUGAUCCGCCACACUGGGACUGAGACACGGCCCAGACUCCUACGGGAGGCAGCAGUGGGGAAUAUUGGACAAUGGGCGAAAGCCUGAUCCAGCAAUGCCGCGUGAGUGAUGAAGGCCUUAGGGUUGUAAAGCUCUUUUACCAGGGAUGAUAAAUGACAGUACCUGGAGAAUAAAGCUCCGGCUAACUACGUGCCAGCAGCCGCGGUAAU
RNAcentral lists this ribosomal RNA (480 nucleotides) under uncultured bacterium. Its description in RNAcentral is "bacterial SSU rRNA". It matches the Rfam family "Bacterial small subunit ribosomal RNA", at positions 30 to 524 of the family's 1533-position model. The record is from RNAcentral.